Molecule: long non-coding RNA, 580 nt
Organism: Lathyrus oleraceus (garden pea)
Lineage: Eukaryota; Viridiplantae; Streptophyta; Magnoliopsida; Fabales; Fabaceae
Exons: 4
Source: RefSeq, a predicted model, not a curated record
UUGUCAAAGUAUAUUAUCUUGGAAUUUACAUAUUUUCUAUUAAAUCUGUUAUAUAAGUUCAUUAUUUUUUUUGUUGUAGUUUUUGAUAGCACUUGAGGUGUUAUUUUUUUUAGGUUACCUGAUUCACCGAAGAAUGAGAAGCCUACACAGUCCACCCAAAUAUUGUAUAACUGGUCUGGUGGAACACAAUUUACAUCAAUUGAAAGAAUCAGUCUAAACCUCAAAGUUCAAAGGUUGUUGCAAGUGAAGUCAAUCCUCAAUUAAGUUCUGAUAAUGUAAAGGUUGUAAGCAGUGAAGAGAAUGUUGAUUUAUCUGCUCAUUCAAUAUUUGCAUGUGGAGAGAAUGAACCUGAUUUUAACAGUGAUGUGACACCAAUUAAAGUGAAGUCAUCAGUUUAAAGGGAUGUCGAUCUUGACUAUGACAUUGUUGGGGCUACACAAUACUUUAGAACCAAACCAUCAAAGAAAGUAAAGAUUGAGCCGAACAGUUGAAAUAUUGUCCACAUGUUCAAAACCCCAUUUUAAGUUUUUGUUGUUACCAUUUAACUUUUUUCAGAAAAUUGUGUAUUAGAUUCUUUCAA